Long non-coding RNA from Papilio xuthus (Asian swallowtail), 1751 nucleotides. RefSeq lists it as uncharacterized. NCBI's taxonomy places the organism in Eukaryota, Metazoa, Arthropoda, Insecta, Lepidoptera, Papilionidae. The record is from RefSeq and is a predicted model, not a curated record. The transcript is spliced from 3 exons.
AUUAAAUUGUUUUUAACAAAAUGUUCAUGGAAAUAAUAUAGAAAGUAUUAGCCAGUAAAUGUUUAAUACAAUUUCUCAUUUCUAUUAAAUUCAAUAAUAGUCUUUAUCUUUUAUUUCAUUCUAGUUAUAGUAUCUCCUUAUCUUCAAUCAUUUCUUUAAUCUCAAUUUCUACCACAAAUUUUUUGGUGUGGUUUCCAAAAUAGUGUAUGAAAAGACACAUAUUUUAUUUGUCACAUAAAACCUGUAAUUAAAUAGUUUUUUUUUUAUAAAAGCAUAAUUAUUAACAUCAUGCCUUUGCCCAUGGUUGGACACAGGUCUUUCAAAAUGCUUAUGACUGUAUGCAGUUUUCUACUCUUCGGUUUUUGUAUGCUAUUAACAAUUUAAACCUUUUUAUAGAAUUGAAGUGAAUGGAAAUUUAUAAUAUUUUUAAUCUAUGAACAUAAUUGACUUUUACUUGUCAAUGCCUAGAAAAUUGUAAACAAUACUAUUUAUAAACAAAAUAUUGGCCUCAAAAGUAUCAAAAUGGUUAUUUUACUGAAGAAAUGAAUAGUACUAAUACUAACAAAAAUUUAAAGAGAUCUAAACAUAAAACAUUCUCAAGUUCAACUUUAAAAAAUGUGUACCUAUAUUUAUUCAUUUUGAUUUAUCAAUGUUUCACGUUUUUUCAUACUUAUACCCGCUACUUUAUGAGCGCAUUAAGCCUUUUAAGGCUCGAGCUUAAAAAGCGUUCCAAUUUAAUAGACAAUGACAUCAAAUUUCCUGCCACACACAAAGUCCCGUAAUGGUUAUUUUGCGAACCCUUACUUUAUUACUCCAAAAAGUACAGUUCGACAUUGCUUAGUUAAACACUUGUUUUUAACACUUCGACCGCCGCCGAGUGCUAUUAUGGACGUUAACUUCCUCUAAAUCUGACUAUAGUAAGAAGGGAAAUGUUACAAAACCUUUGCCUCCAUUAUUAGCCAAGGAUUCAGAAUGGGUGGAUAUUUUGCAAUCUUCAACAACAAAACCGACCUAUAACGACAAAUUGGAAGAAGAGGAGUUACCGCAACUGGUAAUAUAGUGUUUGAACUUUUUUAAUACAAAAUUUGUACCUUCACACCCAAGUGUAGGUAUUCGUUUUAAAAAGUUUAAGUGAUUUGGCUUGACAUUUUUUGUCUCUAAAUUGCAUUAACCAGUUCUUAAAUCUUUUCGAUUAUUUUUAUUUUACAGGUAGAUUGCAAAAAUGGAUUGGAUAAAAAACCUCUUGCUAUACUUUUCCCUAGCUUGCUAGAAAAAGACCCGCAAACUUUAAAGGGAGUUUUGAACAAAGCUAUGUCUACUACCGAAGUUACUAAACAUUUAGUAGAUUUGGGUCAAAAAGCAAAUUUUGCAUUUAUGAAAAAAACAAAUCGACUUAUUCCAUAUAAUAAGCAAUGGUUGGAAAGCUUAGUAGAAGUAUGUCAAUCCAAUCAUUCAAUUCAAACAGAGGAUCUAAGCCCAGGUAAACAUAUUCAAGUUAUUACAUCAUCAAGGUCGUCAACUGACCAUAGGCUUCCUCUAUCGCUUUCCACAAUACCCGGUUCAGUAUCCGCAUCCAGAGCACUCCCUCAACCUUGAACAUUUCUUGUUAAUUGUUGUUAAAGAUUUUUGACUUUAAAGCUGAUUACUGAAGUGAGUCCGGUUAGUAAAUAUGUUGCACGGGCCAAGUUUUAAUACCAAGUUAUGAAGAAAAUACAACUAGAUUGUUUAAAUUUGAAAAAGCCAUACAUAUA